Molecule: ribosomal RNA, 229 nt
Filed under: uncultured bacterium
Lineage: Bacteria
Description: partial 16S ribosomal RNA
Rfam family: Bacterial small subunit ribosomal RNA
Source: RNAcentral
UAGGUAGGCGUCUUAUUAAGUCGGGUGUGAAAUCCCUUGGCUCAACCAAGGAAUUGCAUUCGAAACUGACGAGAUUGAGCACGGAAGAGGGGAGCGGAAUUCCCGGUGUAAGGGUGACAUCUGUAGAUAUCGGGAGGAACACCAGUGGCGAAAGCGGCUCCCUGGUCCAGUGCUGACGCUGAACUACGAAAGCUAGGGGAGCAAACAGGAUUAGAUACCCUGGUAGUCC